ACGUGAUGAACGAACGACUCGAACCUGAAGACUCCAGACGUGAGCAAAUCGUUUCUGUUUCCGGGGAACAGACGUGACAAUUGUGACGUGACAAAACAAUGAACGACUCGGAUCUGGAGGUGAGGUGAACUAACAGACUGCAUGGCCUUAAGACCAGCUAAGCUAUUAAUUAAUAAUUUCUGUUUCUGAUAAUUUGGCCUUGGUUGGAUUAACAUAUUGUUUAUUUUAUAGUUUAUUAAGUAGCCUACUAGAUGUGUUGGGGAAUUUAACAUGUAAUAUUUGAAUUAUAUUCUGCUGAAAUAAACGAAAUGACUCGGAAAAAAACAUUCGUUCAUUUGGCUGAACGAGAUUCAAAGAUCCGAGUCAGUAAAAUGAUCCGAAUUUCCCAUCACUAGCCCCAGCGCGCUAGGACCUCUCGUCCUUAAUUACUCCCUCACGCGCGCUAAUUAAUUUGCAAUGGAUGAGCAGGUGCGCUUGAGAAGGUAGUUGUAGGUUCCUGGUGAGCGCGUGUCUGGUUGUCUGCCAUGGCCAGAACCGGAUUCUAUGAUUCCAGGACACUGCUGGACCGCAAGGCAGAAGAAGCCCGAUUCCCUUUGCGCGCGUGGGCGAACGCAUGCACUGUGCGGGAGCGAGGGGUGCUGAGUGAGGGAGAGGAGCAGAAACAGCAGCCCAAAGCAGACAAUACAGAGCACAGAUGGGUUAUAAGCGACUCAAACUCGCAGCACAGACGGAGAAGUUGGUGUGGCUUGGCAGUUACUGUGAACUGAGCUGCUUUAAAACACAGAUGAGCUGCACACACUCCGGAGUGCAACACAGUGAC
Molecule: long non-coding RNA, 820 nt
Organism: Ictalurus punctatus (channel catfish)
Lineage: Eukaryota; Metazoa; Chordata; Actinopteri; Siluriformes; Ictaluridae
Source: Ensembl